UACGUAGGGUGCGAGCGUUGUCCGGAAUUACUGGGCGUAAAGAGCUCGUAGGUGGUUUGUCGCGUUGUUCGUGAAAACUCACAACUCAAUUGUGGGCGUGCGGGCGAUACGGGCAGACUGGAGUACUGCAGGGGAGACUGGAAUUCCUGGUGUAGCGGUGGAAUGCGUAGAUAUCGGGAGGAACACCAGUGGCGAAGGCGGUUACCUGGAGCUUUGCUGACGCUGAUGCGCGAAAGCGUGGGGAGCGAUCCGG
This 253-nucleotide ribosomal RNA is filed under the name uncultured bacterium. RNAcentral describes it as "partial 16S ribosomal RNA". It matches the Rfam family "Bacterial small subunit ribosomal RNA", at positions 524 to 776 of the family's 1533-position model. The record is from RNAcentral.